GAAAAGCUCAAAUUUAAAAUCUGGCAGAUUUUUGUCUGUCCGAGUUGUAACCUAGAGAAGUGUAACCUGUGCUGGACCGUGUACAAGUCUCCUGGAAUGGAGCAUCAUAGAGGGUGAGAAUCCCGUCUUUGACAUGGACUACCAGUGCACUGUGGUUGCACACUCAACGAGUCGAGUUGUUUGGGAAUGCAGCUCUAAAUGGGUGGUAAAUUCCAUCUAAAGCUAAAUAUUGGCGAGAGACCGAUAGCGAACAAGUACCGUGAGGGAAAGAUGAAAAGAACUUUGGAAAGAGAGUUAAACAGUAUGUGAAAUUGUUGAAAGGGAAACGCUUGAAGUCAGCUGCAUUGGCUGGGGAUCAAGCCAGCUUAUUUGCUGGGUGUACUUCCUGGUUGAUGGGCCAACAUCAGUUUUGACCAUCAGAGAAAGGCUAAGGGAAUGUGGCACCUUUAUAGGUGUGUUAUAGCCCUUGGUUGUAUGUGAUGGUUGGGACUGAGGAUAGCAGCGUGCCGCAAGGCCAGGUUUCGACCAUGUUCACGCUUUGGAUGUUGGCAUAAUGGCUUUAAGCGACCCGUCUUGAAACACGGACCAAGGAGUCUAACAUGCAUGCAAGUGUUUGGGUGGAAAACUCAAGCGCGUAAUGAAAGUGAAAGUUGAGAUCCCUCUCACAGGGGAGCAUCGACGCCCGGACCAGAACUUUUGGGACGGAUCUGCGGUAGAGCAAGCAUGUUGGGACCCGAAAGAUGGUGAACUAUGCCUGAAUAGGGUGAAGCCAGAGGAAACUCUGGUGGAGGCUCGUAGCGAUUCUGACGUGCA
Molecule: ribosomal RNA, 813 nt
Filed under: Amanita bisporigera (eastern North American destroying angel)
Lineage: Eukaryota; Fungi; Basidiomycota; Agaricomycetes; Agaricales; Amanitaceae
Description: eukaryotic LSU rRNA
Rfam family: Eukaryotic large subunit ribosomal RNA
Source: RNAcentral